UUUAUGGAGAGUUUGAUCCUGGCUCAGGAUGAAUGCUGGCGGCAUGCCUAAUACAUGCAAGUCGAGCGGUAACAUGAAUAGCUUGCUAUUUGAUGACGAGCGGCGGACGGCUGAGUAACGCGUGGGAACGUACCCCAAACUGAGGAAUAACGCACCGAAAGGUGUGCUAAUACCGCAUGUGAUCUACGGAUUAAAGCCUUCGGGCGGUUUGGGAAUGGCCUGCGUACGAUUAGAUAGUUGGUGAGGUAAUGGCUCACCAAGUCGACGAUC
This 270-nucleotide ribosomal RNA is filed under the name Candidatus Saccharimonadota bacterium. Its description in RNAcentral is "partial 16S ribosomal RNA". It matches the Rfam family "Bacterial small subunit ribosomal RNA", at positions 1 to 281 of the family's 1533-position model. Lineage: Bacteria; Candidatus Saccharimonadota. The record is from RNAcentral.